AGAGUUUGAUCCUGGCUCAGAUUGAACGCUGGCGGCAGGCCUAACACAUGCAAGUCGAGCGGUAGCACGGGGAGCUUGCUCCUGGGUGACGAGCGGCGGACGGGUGAGUAAUGUCUGGGGAUCUGCCUGAUGGAGGGGGAUAACUACUGGAAACGGUAGCUAAUACCGCAUAACGUCGCAAGACCAAAGAGGGGGACCUUCGGGCCUCUUGCCAUCAGAUGAACCCAGAUGGGAUUAGCUAGUAGGUGGGGUAAUGGCUCACCUAGGCGACGAUCCCUAGCUGGUCUGAGAGGAUGACCAGCCACACUGGAACUGAGACACGGUCCAGACUCCUACGGGAGGCAGCAGUGGGGAAUAUUGCACAAUGGGCGCAAGCCUGAUGCAGCCAUGCCGCGUGUAUGAAGAAGGCCUUCGGGUUGUAAAGUACUUUCAGCGAGGAGGAAGGCAUUAAGGUUAAUAACCUUAGUGAUUGACGUUACUCGCAGAAGAAGCACCGGCUAACUCCGUGCCAGCAGCCCGCGGUAAUACGGAGGGUGCAAGCGUUAAUCGGAAUUACUGGGCGUAAAGCGCACGCAGGCGGUUUGUUAAGUCGGAUGUGAAAUCCCCGGGCUCAACCUGGGAACUGCAUUCGAAACUGGCAAGCUUGAGUCUUGUAGAGGGGGGUAGAAUUCCAGGUGUAGCGGUGAAAUGCGUAG
Molecule: ribosomal RNA, 695 nt
Filed under: uncultured bacterium
Lineage: Bacteria
Description: bacterial SSU rRNA
Rfam family: Bacterial small subunit ribosomal RNA
Source: RNAcentral